Molecule: ribosomal RNA, 553 nt
Filed under: uncultured rumen bacterium
Lineage: Bacteria
Description: bacterial SSU rRNA
Rfam family: Bacterial small subunit ribosomal RNA
Source: RNAcentral
ACGCUGGCGGCGUGCCUAACACAUGCAAGUCGAGCGGGGACAUUGCGACGGAGACGAAGUACUCGUACGGAGUCAAAGAUGUAAUGUUCUAGCGGCGGACGGGUGAGUAACGCGUGAGCAACCUGUCCCUUACAGGGGGAUAACACAGCGAAAGUUGUACUAAUACCGCAUAAGACCACAGGAUGACAUCAUCCAGGGGUCAAAGGAGCAAUCCGGUAAGGGGUGGGCUCGCGUCCGAUUAGAUAGUUGGUGAGGUAACGGCCCACCAAGUCGACGAUCGGUAGCCGACCUGAGAGGGUGAUCGGCCACAUUGGGACUGAGACACGGCCCAAACUCCUACGGGAGGCAGCAGUGGGGAAUAUUGGGCAAUGGGGGAAACCCUGACCCAGCAACGCCGCGUGAGGGAAGAAGGUUUUCGGAUCGUAAACCUCUGUCCCAGGUGAAGAGGAAGAGACGGUAGCCUGGGAGGAAGCCCCGGCUAACUACGUGCCAGCAGCCGCGGUAAUACGUAGGGGGCGAGCGUUGUCCGGAAUGAUUGGGCGUAAAGGGCGCG